CAAUAUUAUCCCAAGAAGUAACACGACUGAAGUUAGGUAUAUUCAUACACCGUCAUCCCCAUUCAAAGUAACAAACAAUGAUGUUUCUCACUCGCGGCAAAUGGAAGAAUUUCAGACUAGUGCAUCAAACAUAACUACAAAAAUUCAAUAUGAAAACAACUAUAAGUCGAAAGAAACUAUUACAUCUGUACAUGAUAGAUCAAAUUAAAAUGAACAGAAUGGGACUAAACGUAAUAAUGCAUUAGAAUACAGUAUCCCAAGAAGUAAAACUAGUGAAGUUAGGUAUAUUCAUACACUGUCAUCCUCUUUCAAAGUAACAAACGAUGAUGUUUGUCACUCGGGGCGAAUGGAAGAAUUUCA
Molecule: long non-coding RNA, 360 nt
Organism: Acyrthosiphon pisum (pea aphid)
Lineage: Eukaryota; Metazoa; Arthropoda; Insecta; Hemiptera; Aphididae
Exons: 3
Source: RefSeq, a predicted model, not a curated record